RNAcentral lists this ribosomal RNA (301 nucleotides) under uncultured bacterium. RNAcentral describes it as "partial 16S ribosomal RNA". It matches the Rfam family "Bacterial small subunit ribosomal RNA", at positions 509 to 807 of the family's 1533-position model. The record is from RNAcentral.
CAGUAGCCGCGGGAAUACAGAGGGUGCAAGCGUUAAUCGGAAUUACUGGGCGUAAAGCGCGCGUAGGUGGUUUGUUAAGUUGGAUGUGAAAGCCCCGGGCUCAACCUGGGAACUGCAUCCAAAACUGGCAAGCUAGAGUACGGUAGAGGGUGGUGGAAUUUCCUGUGUAGCGGUGAAAUGCGUAGAUAUAGGAAGGAACACCAGUGGCGAAGGCGACCACCUGGACUGAUACUGACACUGAGGUGCGAAAGCGUGGGGAGCAAACAGGAUUAGAUACCCGAGUAGUCCCUGUCUCUUAUAC